UGCAAGUCGAGCGGACAGAAGGGAGCUUGCUCCCGGAUGUUAGCGGCGGACGGGUGAGUAACACGUGGGUAACCUGCCUGUAAGACUGGGAUAACUCCGGGAAACCGGAGCUAAUACCGGAUAGUUCCUGAACCGCAUGGUUCAAGGAUGAAAGACGGUUUCGGCUGUCACUUACAGAUGGACCCGCGGCGCAUAGCUAGUUGGUGAGGUAACGGCUCACCAAGGCGACGAUGCGUAGCCGACCUGAGAGGGUGAUCGGCCACACUGGGACUGAGACACGGCCCAGACUCCUACGGGAGGCAGCAGUAGGGAAUCUUCCGCAAUGGACGAAAGUCUGACGGAGCAACGCCGCGUGAGUGAUGAAGGUUUUCGGAUCGUAAAGCUCUGUUGUUAGGGAAGAACAAGUGCAAGAGUAACUGCUUGCACCUUGACGGUACCUAACCAGAAAGCCACGGCUAACUACGUGCCAGCAGCCGCGGUAAUACGUAGGUGGCAAGCGUUGUCCGGAAUUAUUGGGCGUAAAGGGCUCGCAGGCGGUUUCUUAAGUCUGAUGUGAAAGCCCCCGGCUCAACCGGGGAGGGUCAUUGGAAACUGGGAAACUUGAGUGCAGAAGAGGAGAGUGGAAUUCCACGUGUAGCGGUGAAAUGCGUAGAGAUGUGGAGGAACACCAGUGGCGAAGGCGACUCUCUGGUCUGUAACUGACGCUGAGGAGCGAAAGCGUGGGGAGCGAACAGGAUUAGAUACCCUGGUAGUCCACGCCGUAAACGAUGAGUGCUAAGUGUUAGGGGGUUUCCGCCCCUUAGUGCUGCAGCUAACGCAUUAAGCACUCCGCCUGGGGAGUACGGUCGCAAGACUGAAACUCAAAGGAAUUGACGGGGGCCCGCACAAGCGGUGGAGCAUGUGGUUUAAUUCGAAGCAACGCGAAGAACCUUACCAGGUCUUGACAUCCUCUGACAACCCUAGAGAUAGGGCUUUCCCUUCGGGGACAGAGUGACAGGU
This 999-nucleotide ribosomal RNA is filed under the name Bacillus aerius. RNAcentral describes it as "bacterial SSU rRNA". It matches the Rfam family "Bacterial small subunit ribosomal RNA", at positions 56 to 1039 of the family's 1533-position model. Lineage: Bacteria; Bacillati; Bacillota; Bacilli; Caryophanales; Bacillaceae. The record is from RNAcentral.